Equus caballus (horse) is the source of this 765-nucleotide long non-coding RNA. RefSeq lists it as uncharacterized. NCBI's taxonomy places the organism in Eukaryota, Metazoa, Chordata, Mammalia, Perissodactyla, Equidae. The record is from RefSeq and is a predicted model, not a curated record.
UCCAACAUGUUCUGUUGGUCAAAGAAGUCAGAAGCCCAGCCAAAUCAAGACGAGAAGUAAAGCUAUCUCUCCCACUGUAUUUAUGGUGACUUUUGCACUGCAGCUAUGAUGGCUGUUCCGUUUCUCUAGUACUCUUUUCCUCAUUGAUAUACUUUCAACAUACUUGCCACUGUGCCACUCUCUUCUCCUGGAAUGCUUUUGCUUCAGAUAUCCAACUGGCUCAUUUCUUCACCUCUUUGACGUAUUUGCUCAAAUGUCACUUUCCAAUGUGAGCUCCAUUAGGUCAUGGAGUCUUGCCUUUUUGUUCACUGAUCUAUCCAGAGCCUACAACAGUGCCAGCACAUGCAUCUGAAAGAAGAACCUGCUCAAUUCAAAAUAUAUAGAGGUUAAAUGAUAUAGCGACGUGGCUUCCUGAUGGCAAGGCGACUUCAGGGUAUUCACUUCUCAGAUGGCAGCUGGUUCACCCCAAAGCAAGCAUUCCAAGCAAGAGGAAAUGGGAGCCAUCAAUCCUCUUGGAACAGGCAGAGUGUCACUUCUUCUACCUUAUACUGGUUAAACAAUCACAGGGCCAACCCAGGUUCAAGGAGAGAGGAAAUGAACUCUGCCCAUCAAUGCAGAGAAUUGAGAAAGAAGUCACUGCCAUGAUUGCUUUUCCACAGACAAUUUAAUCUCUACCCCCAUUAAUGAAAUUUUCCCAGUUUGACAUAAUGUUUAAUUUGACAUUAAUAAAAUUAAAAGAAAAAAAGAAAAGCAGACACUACAUUA